Non-coding RNA from Musa acuminata subsp. malaccensis (wild Malaysian banana), 1031 nucleotides. Lineage: Eukaryota; Viridiplantae; Streptophyta; Magnoliopsida; Zingiberales; Musaceae. The record is from RefSeq and is a predicted model, not a curated record.
GGCUGCUCUUUCACCUCAUCAUCAUCUCGCGCCUGGCGACGGUUUUGUUGACUAGUUCUUGCUUUUUUGUCCAGAGUCUAAGAACCGGUGCCGGCCUUUCGAUCCACGCGCGAGCCGUUGCUGUUCUUGGGCUUGCGCUCCGCAAAGAAGUAUCAAUCCUGUCGAUCGCUCGGUCAUGUAGACGUCAGCGAAGGCGACAGCGUGGACAGACUUCAUGGACGACGGUUGUUUCUUGAAGAGGAGAGGAGAGGAAAUGAACGAAGAGGAGGAGAAGGGAGCAGAGAGGCGAGGGGCGAGAAGAUAAAGUGCCUUCAUCUUCUUUGAAUCCCUUCGCCCCGUUCGGUUCGAUCUUGAAGAUGGAGGUAUCUGCGCUGGUGUUGGCUUGUGGCGUGAGGGUGGGAGCUGAUGGAAGGUACAAGAUUUGGUGUUGUAUUGGCAAUCCGUUGGCAUUGCAUUCGGCAGCAUGCUUCCGAGGCCAAGUGCUUCACAGUGCCGUCUUCACCAGAGGGUUGGAACUGAUGGAACCAAUAAUAGGUCCCUGUAUGCCAUCAAGGUCGGACCUUUCCACGACCCCAAGUGAUUUCUUUUCGAUUCUUACCACACCAUCGCUUUGAGAACAUAGUGCUGCAACACCCAUAUAGCCGAAUACUUACAAGCAGACAGCUAGAGUGGCCCUCUGUGCAUCUUCACUGUAGUGCCAGAUUUAUUUUGCUGGAGCGUUGUUAGUAACUAUCUUAUUAAGUAAAUGUUUUUAUUUCUUUAGAUUAUUAGUUAUCGAAUUCAUCAUGGCAAAUCAGAGUUUUGCAUUCACUAUCUCCCUCACCUCGCAACAUGGAACUUGUGAUUUGUUUAACAUUUCAUUCAGUGAUGUACUUCCAUGUGAUGACAUGAAUUUAUGCAUCUUCUUUCAGGUUGAGAGAUCAUUUGACUUAUCCGGGGUUCGUAAAUUUUUUUUUUUCUCGACUUGAUUAAAAACAUGUAUGUUUAUUCUGUGGAUUAUGGAUGUAUUUUACAGAUUUUCUGGUGAACUA